Molecule: ribosomal RNA, 255 nt
Filed under: uncultured bacterium
Lineage: Bacteria
Description: partial 16S ribosomal RNA
Rfam family: Bacterial small subunit ribosomal RNA
Source: RNAcentral
UACGGAGGGGGCUAGCGUUGUUCGGAAUUACUGGGCGUAAAGCGCACGUAGGCGGCUUUGUAAGUUAGAGGUGAAAGCCCGGGGCUCAACUCCGGAAUUGCCUUUAAGACUGCAUCGCUAGAAUUGUGGAGAGGUAAGUGGAAUUCCGAGUGUAGAGGUGAAAUUCGUAGAUAUUCGGAAGAACACCAGUGGCGAAGGCGACUUACUGGACACAUAUUGACGCUGAGGUGCGAAAAGCGUGGGGAGCAAACAGGG